UGUAGGCGGUUGUUUAAGUUUGGUGUGAAAUCUCCCGGCUCAACCGGGAGGGUGCGCCGAAUACUGAGCGACUUCGAGUGCGGGAGAGGAAAGUGGAAUUCCUGGUGUAGCGGUGAAAUGCGUAGAUAUCAGGAGGAACACCGGUGGUGUAGACGGCUUCCUGGACCGUAACUGACGCUGAAACACGAAAGCGUGGGUAGCAAACAGGAUUAGAUACCCUGGUAGUCCACGCCCUAAACGAUGCACAUUUGGUGUGGGUCAUUCAGUUGAUCCGUGCCGGAGCUAACGCGUUAAAUGUGCCGCCUGGGGAGUACAGUCGCAAGGCUGAA
RNAcentral lists this ribosomal RNA (329 nucleotides) under uncultured bacterium. RNAcentral describes it as "bacterial SSU rRNA". It matches the Rfam family "Bacterial small subunit ribosomal RNA", at positions 570 to 898 of the family's 1533-position model. The record is from RNAcentral.